UACGGAGGGUGCAAGCGUUAUCCGGAUUCACUGGGUUUAAAGGGUGCGUAGGUGGGCAGGUAAGUCAGUGGUGAAAUCUCCGGGCUUAACCCGGAAACUGCCAUUGAUACUAUCUGUCUUGAAUACCGUGGAGGUGAGCGGAAUAUGUCAUGUAGCGGUGAAAUGCUUAGAUAUGACAUAGAACACCAAUUGCGAAGGCAGCUCACUACGCGAAUAUUGACACUGAGGCACGAAAGCGUGGGGAUCGAAACAAGGAGUUA
This 260-nucleotide ribosomal RNA is filed under the name uncultured bacterium. RNAcentral's name for it is "partial 16S ribosomal RNA". It matches the Rfam family "Bacterial small subunit ribosomal RNA", at positions 524 to 784 of the family's 1533-position model. The record is from RNAcentral.